AGACACCCUUCUGGGGCAAGACUUGCUUCAGUGGGGCUUUGGUGUUCACUGAGUCUGCCCCCUGAGUGUGUCCCU
Non-coding RNA from Myotis lucifugus (little brown bat), 75 nucleotides. Lineage: Eukaryota; Metazoa; Chordata; Mammalia; Chiroptera; Vespertilionidae. The record is from Rfam.